This is a long non-coding RNA of Neopsephotus bourkii (Bourke's parrot), 668 nucleotides long. RefSeq lists it as uncharacterized. Lineage: Eukaryota; Metazoa; Chordata; Aves; Psittaciformes; Psittacidae. The record is from RefSeq and is a predicted model, not a curated record. The transcript is spliced from 2 exons.
UGCCUCCCGACCUCGCUGUUGCUCGCUAGAUAGCAGGAAGAGCUGAACAGACAGCCUGCCUGGUCCUGAACCAUCAGAGUCAUCAGGAUGACAUUCUCCUGGAAGGUGAAACCAGCACAGGAACAGGCUAACAGCCUGGGCGGAUGUCAGUGCUAUAUAUGCCACCUGGCCUUCCUUCCCUGAUAGCUGCAGAGGGAGGUAGACCCCCCAGAUAAACCUCCCUGUGUGGAAUCAGCGCUCUCCAUGAGCUUCAUCCGAGGAAAGGGUCGUUACACCCAACUGCUGCGCAAGCACAAGGGAAGCAGACUUCGGCUUUGUGGCUAGACACAGCUAAGGCCAACCUGAUCUCGUGCUGGCAGCAGUGCUGUGUUGGGAGACCUCCAGAGAGUGUUCCAUCCACCGCUCGCAGGACGCCAGCUCUGGCAGAGCAUUACGUAAGGGAAGGAAAGGUGUUUAUUUUAUAUUUUGGCUCCCCUGGGAAAUGGAUGCAGAAGGGCAUGAAUAUUCUUGCUGCAGUUAGGCAGCACAGAUGACCUGCAGUAGAACAGAGUUAAGCCAAGUCCUUGUAGGUCCCAGACCCACUCUUUAAGUGGGAGCUCAGUCAAAUUUUUUAAGGAAAAAGAUCUUUUUCCCUGGAUUAAAAUUUAAUAAAAUAAUUUUCAUAUCUC